RNAcentral lists this ribosomal RNA (472 nucleotides) under uncultured bacterium. RNAcentral describes it as "bacterial SSU rRNA". It matches the Rfam family "Bacterial small subunit ribosomal RNA", at positions 335 to 799 of the family's 1533-position model. The record is from RNAcentral.
ACUCCUACGGGAGGCAGCAGUGGGGAAUAUUGCACAAUGGGCGCAAGCCUGAUGCAGCCAUGCCGCGUGUGUGAAGAAGGCCUUCGGGUUGUAAAGCACUUUCAGUUGUGAGGAAGGUGGUGUCGUUAAUAGCGGCAUCAUUUGACGUUAGCAACAGAAGAAGCACCGGCUAACUCCGUGCCAGCAGCCGCGGUAAUACGGAGGGUGCGAGCGUUAAUCGGAAUUACUGGGCGUAAAGCGCAUGCAGGUGGUUUGUUAAGUCAGAUGUGAAAGCCCGGGGCUCAACCUCGGAACUGCAUUUGAAACUGGCAGACUAGAGUACUGUAGAGGGGGUAGAAUUUCAGGUGUAGCGGUGAAAUGCGUAGAGAUCUGAAGGAAUACCGGUGGCGAAGGCGGCCCCCUGGACAGAUACUGACACUCAGAUGCGAAAGCGUGGGGAGCAAACAGGAUUAGAUACCCUGGUAGCACAGAG